This is a long non-coding RNA of Nerophis ophidion (straightnose pipefish), 475 nucleotides long. RefSeq lists it as uncharacterized. The record is from RefSeq and is a predicted model, not a curated record. The transcript has 2 exons. NCBI's taxonomy places the organism in Eukaryota, Metazoa, Chordata, Actinopteri, Syngnathiformes, Syngnathidae.
AAGCCUCAGUUUUUAGUAACUAUGAAUCAUCCGUCACCCAACUUUGACCCUGCUGCGUUUUGCCCUUUUUUUCCCCCUCCUCUUCCCACCUUCUACCUCCUUUAUGGCCUGAACCUUUUCAUGGAUGUGCCGCAUUUCUCAAUUUGACCUCUGAGAAGAAAGGUCGGGUAGAAAAUGAAGAAGGUAAGACAACUAAACAACUAUUACAGCUGUUUCCGUGGCGACCCUGAGCUCAGAGAUUCCUCCGGGGGUGUGAAAGUGACCAGGAGGAGCUCUCAGACGUCGUCUGGUGGGAGGAAGCCGGAGUACCCGGAGGGAACCCACGCAGUCACGGGGAGGACAUGCAAACUCCACACAGAAAGAUCCCGAGCCCGGGAUUGAACCCUGACUACUCAGGACCUUCGUAUUGUGAGGCAGACGCACUAACCCCUUUUCCACCGUGAAGCCACAAUCAAAAUGUAUUGUAGCAAAUUUA